AUGCUCACUUUGGCAGCACAUAUACUAAAAUUGGAACAAUACAGAGAUUAGCAUGGCCCCUGCGUAAGGAUGACACGCAAAUUCAUACAGUGUUCCGUAUUUUU
Molecule: small nuclear RNA, 104 nt
Filed under: Propithecus coquereli (Coquerel's sifaka)
Lineage: Eukaryota; Metazoa; Chordata; Mammalia; Primates; Indriidae
Source: RNAcentral